Peromyscus eremicus (cactus mouse) is the source of this 372-nucleotide long non-coding RNA. RefSeq lists it as uncharacterized. The transcript has 3 exons. The record is from RefSeq and is a predicted model, not a curated record. Lineage: Eukaryota; Metazoa; Chordata; Mammalia; Rodentia; Cricetidae.
UUCCAUACUAGUUAAAAGAACUUCCUUAGUCUGGGGCUACCCAAGGACAAAGGUAGGGUAAUCAAGAUUGAGUUUGAUCACUUGAUAUUAAAUUCAAAAAAGAAGGAAGGAAUACCCAGGUCACACCCUGUGUUCUGCUAGAUAUAACUAGAAAAUAGGCAUGAAGAUAUAAGGGCUGGAAGGAGAGGAAAGAACUACUAGAACUCGACAACAGGAUCUACAGUCAGUUGAGAUGAAGUUCAAAGAGGCAUGCAACCUACUCCCAGUGACUAUGUGGUUUCCAAUGGACUUUCAUGGCAUGAGAAAGCAACUUCAAACACUGCAACUUUUGCUGACAGGACAUUUCUUGGGCCAGCACUGUUGAAUUGUAAG